This 497-nucleotide ribosomal RNA is filed under the name uncultured bacterium. RNAcentral's name for it is "partial 16S ribosomal RNA". It matches the Rfam family "Bacterial small subunit ribosomal RNA", at positions 28 to 507 of the family's 1533-position model. The record is from RNAcentral.
GAUGAACGCUGGCGGCGUGCCUAAUACAUGCAAGUCGAGCGAACAGACGAGGAGCUUGCUCCUCUGACGUUAGCGGCGGACGGGUGAGUAACACGUGGAUAACCUACCUAUAAGACUGGGAUAACUUCGGGAAACCGGAGCUAAUACCGGAUAAUAUAUUGAACCGCAUGGUUCAAUAGUGAAAGACGGUUUUGCUGUCACUUAUAGAUGGAUCCGCGCCGCAUUAGCUAGUUGGUAAGGUAACGGCUUACCAAGGCAACGAUGCGUAGCCGACCUGAGAGGGUGAUCGGCCACACUGGAACUGAGACACGGUCCAGACUCCUACGGGAGGCAGCAGUAGGGAAUCUUCCGCAAUGGGCGAAAGCCUGACGGAGCAACGCCUCGUGAGUGAUGAAGGUCUUCGGAUCGUAAAACUCUGUUAUUAGGGAAGAACAAAUGUGUAAGUAACUAUGCACGUCUUGACGGUACCUAAUCAGAAAGCCACGGCUAACUACGUG